CCCAGCUGUAGGCAGCCCCCUAGGUUGCCUUGUACCUAAGGAAAGUGUUACACUGCUGGAAGCACAGCCAACAGCGGCUGGCGUUCUAGACUUGAUUCAUGCCAGCUCUAUGUUAACUAUACAAGCAUGCCAGCAAA
RNAcentral lists this small nucleolar RNA (137 nucleotides) under Ochotona princeps (American pika). RNAcentral describes it as "Small nucleolar RNA SNORA74 (ENSOPRG00000022840.1)". The record is from RNAcentral. Lineage: Eukaryota; Metazoa; Chordata; Mammalia; Lagomorpha; Ochotonidae.